GACGUUGGAUGCUCGGUAUAUUGUUGACACUCCACUAAGUCUUUAUUUUCUUAAUUAUACAGCUCCUAACUUUUCUAUCACUCUGUAUAUAUGAUCAAAUGGUUAAACAUCUUUGCAUGAGUAUGGCUGCAUCAUUUAUUCAGACGAGCUUCGUAUUGUUGCUCCUCACUCUUCUGCUUGGGGCAGCCUAUUUACCGCACCUCACUGCUCUUCACUCUGAAUCAUCAGCUUCCCCUGUCUAUGCUAACUACCACGCACGCCGCCUAUCCACCCACCACUUCUACGGAGCUUACAGGAGUGAACCACACCCUGCCCACGGUGCAAGCGUUAAUGAUUGAAGAGAUUUCUUGUAACAAAUCGUCUGCCUCCACUGCAUCUUAUGGUUAUUCGACUAGUAGAGGAAGUUGAAUCCCAGUGCUUGCAUAAUAAUUAUGUAUGUGAUGCAGAUAUCAUAUGUACAGGGAAUCUUCUUUCUGUUCUGUUUCUUAUAUAUGCAGAUGUACACCUGAUUAUAACUGAAUGCAGCCUAUUUUGAAGUUUGAACAAUAA
This is a long non-coding RNA of Daucus carota subsp. sativus, 549 nucleotides long. RefSeq lists it as uncharacterized. The record is from RefSeq and is a predicted model, not a curated record. NCBI's taxonomy places the organism in Eukaryota, Viridiplantae, Streptophyta, Magnoliopsida, Apiales, Apiaceae. The transcript has 2 exons.